AUAGCACGGGGAAACUCGUAUUAAUACCGCAUACGUCCUACGGGAGAAAGGGGGCAACUUGUUGCUCUCGCUAUUAGAUGAGCCUAAGUCGGAUUAGCUAGAUGGUGGGGUAAAGGCCUACCAUGGCGACGAUCUGUAGCUGGUCUGAGAGGAUGAUCAGCCACACCGGGACUGAGACACGGCCCGGACUCCUACGGGAGGCAGCAGUGGGGAAUAUUGGACAAUGGGGGAAACCCUGAUCCAGCCAUGCCGCGUGUGUGAAGAGGGCCUUUUGGUUGUAAAGCACUUUAAGCAGUGAAGAAGACUCCGUGGUUAAUACCCACGAACGAUGACAUUAGCAGCAGAAUAAGCACCGGCUAACUCUGUGCCAGCAGCCGCGGUAAUACAGAGGGUGCAAGCGUUAAUCGGAAUUACUGGGCGUAAAGCGAGCGUAGGUGGCUUGAUAAGUCAGAUGUGAAAUCCCCGGGCUUAACCUGGGAACUGCAUCUGAAACUGUUAGGCUAGAGUAGGUGAGAGGGAAGUAGAAUUUCAGGUGUAGCGGUGAAAUGCGUAGAGAUCUGAAGGAAUACCGAUGGCGAAGGCAGCUUCCUGGCAUCAUACUGACACUGAGGCUCGAAAGCGUGGGUAGCAAACAGGAUUAGAUACCCUGGUAGUCCACGCCGUAAACGAUGUCUACUAGUCGUUGGGUCCCUUGAGGACUUAGUGACGCAGCUAACGCAAUAAGUAGACCGCCUGGGGAGUACGGCCGCAAGGUUAAAACUCAAAUGAAUUGACGGGGGCCCGCACAAGCGGUGGAGCAUGUGGUUUAAUUCGAUGCAACGCGAAGAACCUUACCUGGUCUUGACAUAUCUAGAAUCCUGCAGAGAUGCGGGAGUGCCUUCGGGAAUUAGAAUACAGGUGCUGCAUGGCUGUCGUCAGCUCGUGUCGUGAGAUGUUGGGUUAAGUCCCGCAACGAGCGCAACCCUUGUCCUUAGUUACCAGCGGGUUAAGCCGGGAACUCUAAGGAUGCUGCCAGUGACAAACUGGAGGAAGGCGGGGACGACGUCAAGUCAUCAUGGCCCUUACGACCAGGGCUACACACGUGCUACAAUGGUAGGUACAGAGGGCAGCCACACAGCGAUGUGAUGCGAAUCUCAAAAAGCCUAUCGUAGUCCAGAUWGGAGUCUGCAACUCGACUCCAUGAAAGUAGAAUCGCUAGUAAUCGCGGAUCAAAAAUGCGCGGUGAAUACGUUUCCCGGCCU
RNAcentral lists this ribosomal RNA (1241 nucleotides) under uncultured Gammaproteobacteria bacterium. RNAcentral describes it as "bacterial SSU rRNA". It matches the Rfam family "Bacterial small subunit ribosomal RNA", at positions 143 to 1381 of the family's 1533-position model. The record is from RNAcentral. Lineage: Bacteria; Pseudomonadati; Pseudomonadota; Gammaproteobacteria.